RNAcentral lists this ribosomal RNA (446 nucleotides) under uncultured bacterium. Its description in RNAcentral is "partial 16S ribosomal RNA". It matches the Rfam family "Bacterial small subunit ribosomal RNA", at positions 338 to 795 of the family's 1533-position model. The record is from RNAcentral.
CCUACGGGUGGCAGCAGUCGAGAAUCAUUCACAAUGGGGGAAACCCUGAUGCUGCGACGCCGCGUGGGGGAAUGAAGGUCUUCGGAUUGUAAACCCCUGUCAUGUGGGAGCAAAUUACAAUGAUAGUACCACAAGAGGAAGAGACGGCUAACUCUGUGCCAGCAGCCGCGGUAAUACAGCGGUCUCAAGCGUUGUUCGGAAUCACUGGGCGUAACGCGUGCGUAGGCUGUUUCGUAAGUCGUGUGUGAAAGGCGCGGGCUCAACCCGCGGACGGCACAUGAUACUGCGAGACUAGAGUAAUGGAGGGGGAAGCGGAAUUCUCGGUGUAGCAGUGAAAUGCGUAGAUAUCGAGAGGAACACCCGUGGCGAAGGCGGGUUCCUGGACAGUAACUGACGCUGAGGCACGAAGGCCAGGGGAGCGAAAGGGAUUAGAUACCCGGGUAGUC